UACGGAGAGUGCAAGCGUUGUUCGGAAUUACUGGGCGUAAAGCGCACGUAGGCGGCUUGGUCAGUCUGAUGUGAAAGCCCUGGGCUCAACCCAGGAAGUGCAUUGGAUACUGCCGAGCUCGAGUUCUGGAGGGGGAAGCGGAAUUCCGAGUGUAGAGGUGAAAUUCGUAGAUAUUCGGAGGAACACCAGUGGCGAAGGCGGCUUCCUGGACAGAUACUGACGCUGAGGUGCGAAAGCGUGGGGAGCAAACAGG
This 253-nucleotide ribosomal RNA is filed under the name uncultured bacterium. RNAcentral describes it as "partial 16S ribosomal RNA". It matches the Rfam family "Bacterial small subunit ribosomal RNA", at positions 524 to 776 of the family's 1533-position model. The record is from RNAcentral.